This 288-nucleotide ribosomal RNA is filed under the name Bacillus sp. IS3005. RNAcentral describes it as "partial 16S ribosomal RNA". It matches the Rfam family "Bacterial small subunit ribosomal RNA", at positions 162 to 442 of the family's 1533-position model. Lineage: Bacteria; Bacillati; Bacillota; Bacilli; Caryophanales; Bacillaceae. The record is from RNAcentral.
GCUAAUACCGGAUAGUUUUUUUCCUCGCAUGAGGAAAAGUGGAAAGGUGGCUUUUAGCUACCACUUACAGAUGGACCCGCGGCGCAUUAGCUAGUUGGUGAGGUAACGGCUCACCAAGGCGACGAUGCGUAGCCGACCUGAGAGGGUGAUCGGCCACACUGGGACUGAGACACGGCCCAGACUCCUACGGGAGGCAGCAGUAGGGAAUCUUCCGCAAUGGACGAAAGUCUGACGGAGCAACGCCGCGUGAGUGAUGAAGGUUUUCGGAUCGUAAAGCUCUGUUGUUAG